GAUGAACGCUAGCGGCAGGCUUAACACAUGCAAGUCGAGGGGCAGCGGUAUGUAGCAAUACAUAGCCGGCGACCGGCGCAAGGGUGCGUAACGCGUGAGCAACAUGCCCGUCACAGGAGGAUAAUCCAUGGAAACGUGGUCUAAUACUCCAUAGUAUCGGAGUGAGGCAUCUCAUUCUGAUUAAAGCUUCGGUGGUGACGGAUUGGCUCGCGUGACAUUAGCUAGAUGGAGAGGUAACGGCUCACCAUGGCUACGAUCAGUAGGGGUUCUGAGAGGAAGGUCCCCCACAUUGGAACUGAGACACGGUCCAAACUCCUACGGGAGGCAGCAGUGAGGAAUAUUGGUCAAUGGACGAGAGUCUGAACCAGCCAAGUAGCGUGAAGGAUGACUGCCUAUGGGUUGUAAACUUCUUUUGUUUGGGAAUAAAGCUCGGGACGUGUCCCGUUUGUAUGUACCAUUCGAUAAGCAUCGGCUAAUUCCG
Molecule: ribosomal RNA, 481 nt
Filed under: uncultured bacterium
Lineage: Bacteria
Description: bacterial SSU rRNA
Rfam family: Bacterial small subunit ribosomal RNA
Source: RNAcentral